RNAcentral lists this unclassified non-coding RNA (90 nucleotides) under Pseudomonas azotoformans. The record is from RNAcentral. Lineage: Bacteria; Pseudomonadati; Pseudomonadota; Gammaproteobacteria; Pseudomonadales; Pseudomonadaceae.
UGUGGGAGCGGGCUUGCUCGCGAAUACGGAGUGUCAGUCACCUGAUUAGUUGACUGACACUCCGUAUUCGCGAGCAAGCCCGCUCCCACA